CCUACGGGGGGCAGCAGUGGGGAAUAUUGCACAAUGGGCGCAAGCCUGAUGCAGCCAUGCCGCGAGUGUGAAGAAGGCCUUCGGGUUGUAAAGCACUUUCAGCGGGGAGGAAGGCGUUAAGGUUAAUAACCUUGGCGAUUGACGUUACCCGCAGAAGAAGCACCGGCUAACUCCGUGCCAGCAGCCGCGGUAAUACGGAGGGUGCAAGCGUUAAUCGGAAUUACUGGGCGUAAAGCGCACGCAGGCGGUCUGUCAAGUCGGAUGUGAAAUCCCCGGGCUCAACCUGGGAACUGCAUUCGAAACUGGCAGGCUAGAGUCUUGUAGAGGGGGGUAGAAUUCCAGGUGUAGCGGUGGAAUGCGUAGAGAUCUGGAGGAAUACCGGUGGCGAAGGCGGCCCCCUGGACAAAGACUGACGCUCAGGUGCGAAAGCGUGGGGAGCAAACAGGAUUAGAUACCCCAGUAGUC
Molecule: ribosomal RNA, 465 nt
Filed under: uncultured Klebsiella sp.
Lineage: Bacteria; Pseudomonadati; Pseudomonadota; Gammaproteobacteria; Enterobacterales; Enterobacteriaceae
Description: bacterial SSU rRNA
Rfam family: Bacterial small subunit ribosomal RNA
Source: RNAcentral